UUUAAGAAAAGCAUUUUGCAUCAAAAGAAUGCUUUCAUGUGAUAAUGCCGGGGAAGGUUUUCCGGUUUAUCCCGGAGGGCUUGUAGCUCAGUUGGUUAGAGCGCGCGCUUGAUAAGCGUGAGGUCGGAGGUUCAAGUCCUCCCAGGCCCACCAAUUAUCCAUCCAUAGAAAAGCGCUUAGGGAGCUUGAAAAAGAGCUUUCUCGUAAAGUUUGAAAAAAAACUUGUUUAUCGCUUUUUGUAAGAUGUGGCGUUUGUCUGUUUUUAAAGCGGUCGAAACCAAAAGUGUUGCAAAGACAAGGGUCUUGGAGCAGGAAAGAAUAUAAGGUCCAGGUGGUAUCACAUGGUCUAGAGUUGAACUGUUCAGGAUUGGAAUAUUCCAUGUUGAAAUGCUGCGAUAUGAAGGUUUCGGAUAAAUAAUUUCGUUUUGGGGGCCGUAGCUCAGCUGGGAGAGCACCUGCU
This 460-nucleotide transfer RNA is filed under the name uncultured Bartonella sp. RNAcentral's name for it is "partial 16S-23S ribosomal RNA intergenic spacer". The stretch from base 77 to 150 matches the Rfam family "tRNA". Lineage: Bacteria; Pseudomonadati; Pseudomonadota; Alphaproteobacteria; Hyphomicrobiales; Bartonellaceae. The record is from RNAcentral.